GAUGAACGCUGGCGGCGUGCCUAAUACAUGCAAGUCGAGCGAACAGACGAGGAGCUUGCUCCUUUGACGUUAGCGGCGGACGGGUGAGUAACACGUAGGUAACCUACCUAUAAGACUGGGAUAACUGCGGGAAACCGGAGCUAAUACCGGAUAAUAUUUCGAACCGCAUGGUUCGAUAGUGAAAGAUGGCUUUGCUAUGACUGAUAGAUGGACCUGCGCCGUAUUAGCUAGUUGGUAAGGUAACGGCUUACCAAGGCAACGAUAAGUAGCCGACCUGAGAGGGUGAUCGGCCACACUGGAACUGAGCCACGGUCCAGACUCCUACGGGAGGCAGCAGUAGGGAAUCUUCCGCAAUGGGCGAAAGCCUGACGGAGCAACGCCGCGCUAGUGAUGAAGGUCUUCGGAUCGUAAAACUCUGUUAUUAGGGAAGAACAAACGUGUAAGUAACUGUGCACGUCUUGACGGUACCUAAUCAGAAAGCCACGGCUAACUACGUG
RNAcentral lists this ribosomal RNA (497 nucleotides) under uncultured bacterium. Its description in RNAcentral is "partial 16S ribosomal RNA". It matches the Rfam family "Bacterial small subunit ribosomal RNA", at positions 28 to 507 of the family's 1533-position model. The record is from RNAcentral.